GCCGGGCUAGCUCAAUCGGUAGAGCGUGAGACUCUUAGUCCACGGUAUCUCAAGGUUGCGGGUUCGACCCCCGCGUUCGGCU
RNAcentral lists this transfer RNA (82 nucleotides) under Aspergillus bertholletiae. It matches the Rfam family "tRNA". From Rfam's summary of the family: Transfer RNA (tRNA) molecules are approximately 80 nucleotides in length. Their secondary structure includes four short double-helical elements and three loops (D, anti-codon, and T loops). Lineage: Eukaryota; Fungi; Ascomycota; Eurotiomycetes; Eurotiales; Aspergillaceae. The record is from Rfam by way of RNAcentral.